RNAcentral lists this unclassified non-coding RNA (327 nucleotides) under soil metagenome. Its description in RNAcentral is "partial contains 5.8S ribosomal RNA, internal transcribed spacer 2, and large subunit ribosomal RNA". The stretch from base 1 to 120 matches the Rfam family "5.8S ribosomal RNA", at positions 35 to 154 of the family's 154-position model. The record is from RNAcentral.
GAUGAAGAACGUAGCGAAAUGCGAUAAGUAAUGUGAAUUGCAGAAUUCAGUGAAUCAUCGAAUCUUUGAACGCACAUUGCGCCCCUUGGUAUUCCGGGGGGCAUGUCUGUUCGAGCGUCAUUAUAACCCCUCAAGCUCAGCUUGGUGUUGGGGCCUGCCGACUGGCAGCCCUUAAAAUCAGUGGCGGCGCCAUCUGGCUCUAAGCGUAGUAAUUUCUCUCGCUAUAGAGUCCCGGUGGAUGCUUGCCAGCAACCCCCAACUUUCUAUGGUUGACCUCGGAUCAGGUAGGGAUACCCGCUGAACUUAAGCAUAUCAAUAAGCGGAGGA